Acomys russatus (golden spiny mouse) is the source of this 132-nucleotide small nucleolar RNA. RefSeq annotates it as small nucleolar RNA SNORA17. The record is from RefSeq and is a predicted model, not a curated record. NCBI's taxonomy places the organism in Eukaryota, Metazoa, Chordata, Mammalia, Rodentia, Muridae. The transcript has a single exon.
CCUGAUCCUAGAGGCAUUGCAAGUGUGACUGCUGUGUCACAUGUGCGUCAGUAGGUGGCAGAGAAGAGAGAGGCUACAUCUACUCUCAAUAGCUUUGACCUGUGCUAAUGGAUUGAUUAGUAACCUAACAAU